GGUCAAGUUAUUAAGGGUGCAGGGCGGAUGCCUUGGCACUAGGAGCCGAUGAAGGACGUGAUAAGCUGCGAUAAGCUUCGGGGAGUUGCACGUAAACUUUGAUCCGAAGAUUUCCGAAUGAGGAAACUCACUUAGAGUAAUGUCUAAGUAUCAUUAAGUGAAUACAUAGCUUAAUGAGGGGAACUCAGGGAACUGAAACAUCUAAGUACCUGAAGGAAGAGAAAGAAAUUCGAUUCCGUAAGUAGCGGCGAGCGAACGCGGAUUAGCCCAAACCAAUAAAGUUUUCUUUAUUGGGGUUGCGGACAUAUCAUAACGAAGAGGUAUCGUAAUUGAAGAGGUUUGGAAAGACCCACCACAGAAGGUAAUAGUCCUGUAUGUUAAACGAGAAGACUUCAGAUAUGAUCCAGAGUACCACGGGACACGUGAAACCCUGUGGGAAGCAGGAGGGACCACCCUCCAAGGCUAAAUACUACCUAGUGACCGAUAGCGUAUAGUACCGUGAG
Molecule: ribosomal RNA, 503 nt
Filed under: Clostridioides difficile
Lineage: Bacteria; Bacillati; Bacillota; Clostridia; Peptostreptococcales; Peptostreptococcaceae
Description: partial 23S ribosomal RNA
Rfam family: Bacterial large subunit ribosomal RNA
Source: RNAcentral